Molecule: ribosomal RNA, 426 nt
Filed under: uncultured Lysobacteraceae bacterium
Lineage: Bacteria; Pseudomonadati; Pseudomonadota; Gammaproteobacteria; Lysobacterales; Lysobacteraceae
Description: bacterial SSU rRNA
Rfam family: Bacterial small subunit ribosomal RNA
Source: RNAcentral
GGGGAAUAUUGGACAAUGGGCGCAAGCCUGAUCCAGCCAUGCCGCGUGGGUGAAGAAGGCCUUCGGGUUGUAAAGCCCUUUUGUUGGGAAAGAAAAGCAGCCGGCCAAUACCCGGUUGUUCUGACGGUACCCAAAGAAUAAGCACCGGCUAACUUCGUGCCAGCAGCCGCGGUAAUACGAAGGGUGCAAGCGUUACUCGGAAUUACUGGGCGUAAAGCGUGCGCAGGCGGUUUUGUAAGACAGGCGUGAAAUCCCCGGGCUCAACCUGGGAACUGCGCUUGUGACUGCAAGACUAGAGUGUGGCAGAGGGUAGUGGAAUUCCUGGUGUAGCAGUGAAAUGCGUAGAGAUCAGGAGGAACAUCCGUGGCGAAGGCGACUGCCUGGGCCAACACUGACACUGAGGCACGAAAGCGUGGGGAGCAAACA